ACCACUUCUACGGAGGGCAGCAGGCGCGCAAAUUGCCCAAUGUCAAAAAAAAACGAUGAGGCAGCGAAAAGAAAUAGAGCCGACAGUGCAUUUUGUAUUGUCGUUUUCAAUGGGGGAUAUUUAAACCCAUCCAAAAUCGAGUAACAAUUGGAGGACAAGUCUGGUGCCAGCACCCGCGGUAAUUCCAGCUCCAAAAGCGUAUAUUAAU
Molecule: ribosomal RNA, 208 nt
Filed under: Trypanosoma noyesi
Lineage: Eukaryota; Euglenozoa; Kinetoplastea; Trypanosomatida; Trypanosomatidae
Description: partial small subunit ribosomal RNA
Rfam family: Eukaryotic small subunit ribosomal RNA
Source: RNAcentral